AGGAUCUCACUUAUUCCUCGAGACUGGUUCCUCGCAAAAGGAGGCAGAAAGCCGAAUGAUGAAUUGAAUUUACAGCUGACAAACCCACCAUGUCCAGAAGUUUUUUUUUUUUUUUUUUGCACAUUCUCACUCUAAUUCGUCUGGUGUGGAAAGCGAGCUAAAAGAGCCUGUUGGCGUGAGAAGUGAUGAUGUAGAUGACACAUGUGGAAAAAAUUUAAAAUAUGAAAAAAUCCACUAAGGUUACCUAAGACUGAGUACACACGUUCCUCGUCUUUUAUGAUUAGACUGUUAUCAGUCCCUUUUAUCAUAUGCAUGUACAUACAAACGCUAUGUAGCACGCUCUGUUAGCUCGCCCCGCUCCAUGCACUGCAAAUUAAUUUCUUCAUUCUGGCUAUAAUAUUGAUCCAUACAGCAGGUUUUAUCCCCUUUUUUUAAAGACACGUGUAUCAGUGUGAUAUCACAGCAGUCCGGAGGCAAAAUUUGGUGGCUCUAGCUCUUAUGGUCUCUUAGAACUAGCCGACAAACAUGUUGGAAAGAUGGACGGACAGACUGACAGACGGACAGAAAGACAUAUUAUAUUAUAUUGACUCGGCUACUAUUCAGAUAAUUUACAGAUUUAACACAUCAUUUCGGCUAUGAGAAUUAAAAAGAAGAAUGCGAAAGCACCGAAUCACAUUGAGCCUGAAUUGAAGCCAUAAUACUAUUAAAGUAAAUUGACUUCAUCCCCGCCGUAUACCACAGGACUCUUUACCACCCUCUCCGUCCAUCCCCUUCGCAUCAUAAUAAAUAUAUAUUCUAACCAACGAAAGAGAAAUAGCAGUACCGGGAGCCAGAACCAGCGACAUCCGAGAGCUACCAGGGAAGACCACGCCGCCAAAGUUAAAGUCAGGGGGAAUGGUUUGUACAGAGGAAAAUGAAGUAGGUAAAGAGGAGGCGUUGCCACAGCUGAGACUGUGCUUCUUGUUGUUUUCCAAUGGGUUGGUGGUGAAGAUGAAGAUGGUAGAAGAUGGUCGCCCAGAAGCUAGGAUGUCUGCCAAGUUUAGUCUGCCCAAGGUCUGGUCCUACGUUAUGUGCUGUUAAUGACUGAGAAGAAGUCUGUGAAAGAACUGUGGGUCUCGCUAGGCAGGGUCUGGACUUUGGAGUCUGUCAAGAGAAGUGGAGUUAAACGUCGCUGGGGAGAGGAAUAUGCGUGGGCAUGUGGUAAUGCUGCGCACACGGAUAUUGACAAAUUGCCAUUUAAAUAGACAGAAUGAAGAUAAAUGCAACUACACACGCGCAUUAUGAAUGGGAGGAGUAUAAUUUGAUACUAAGCAGUGGGCCUUCAAAAACACGUUUAGCACUGUGCUUGGUGAGGGGUGGACAGCGGAGGCAUUGGACUAAGAUCCUAGAUAUGAGCAUUAAUUAGAAAAAAGAUAUUGUGUUAAGGGUACAUAAAAAUGAAAUGAAACAUAUGGGAAUAUGUGGAUGCAUAUGUAGGUGCCUGCUUAGAGAACUAAUGACGGAAACCCU
RNAcentral lists this long non-coding RNA (1509 nucleotides) under Drosophila guanche. Lineage: Eukaryota; Metazoa; Arthropoda; Insecta; Diptera; Drosophilidae. The record is from RNAcentral.